UGGGGGAUAUUGCACAAUGGGCGCAAGCCUGAUGCAGCGACGCCGCGUGGGGGAUGAAGGCCUUCGGGUUGUAAACUUCUUUUGCUCUGAACAAGGCGCACUUUGGGGUGUGUUGAGUGUAGGGGUUGAUUAGCGCCGGCUAACUACGUGCCAGCAGCCGCGGUAAUACGUCGGGCGCGAGCGUUGUCCGGAAUUAUUGGGCGUAAAGGGCUUGUAGGUGGCUGGUUGCGUCUGUCGUGAAGGCUCAUGGCUUAACUGUGGGUUUGCGGUGGGUACGGGCUGGCUUGAGUGCAGUAGGGGAGGCUGGAAUUCCUGGUGUAGCGGUGGAAUGCGCAGAUAUCAGGAGGAAUACCGGUGGCGAAGGCGGGUCUCUGGGCUGUUACUGACACUGAGGAGCGAAAGCAUGGGGAGCGAACAGG
Molecule: ribosomal RNA, 419 nt
Filed under: bacterium
Lineage: Bacteria
Description: partial 16S ribosomal RNA
Rfam family: Bacterial small subunit ribosomal RNA
Source: RNAcentral